AAUCCAUAGGUUAAUGAGGCGAACCGGGGGAACUGAAACAUCUAAGUACCCCGAGGAAAAGAAAUCAACCGAGAUUCCCCCAGUAGCGGCGAGCGAACGGGGAGGAGCCCAGAGCCUGAAUCAGCAUGUGUGUUAGUGGAAGCGUCUGGAAAGGCGCGCGAUACAGGGUGACAGCCCCGUACACAAAAGCGCAUGUGCUGUGAGCUCGAUGAGUAGGGCGGGACACGUGGUAUCCUGUCUGAAUAUGGGGGGACCAUCCUCCAAGGCUAAAUACUCCUGACUGACCGAUAGUGAACCAGUACCGUGAGGGAAAGGCGAAAAGAACCCCGGCGAGGGGAGUGAAAAAGAACCUGAAACCGUGUACGUACAAGCAGUGGGAGCCCCACCACCAAAGCAUUCUCUGGUGUUGAAGGCCCUGCAAAGCAGCAUCGCGGUGGCGGAGCGUCGUUUGCGACGCCCAACACACAAAACAAGCGGUGAGUGCUUUGGGGUGGGGUGACUGCGUACCUUUUGUAUAAUGGGUCAGCGACUUAUAUUCUGUAGCAAGGUUAACCGAAUAGGGGAGCCGGAGGGAAACCGAGUCUUAAUUGGGCGUUAAGUUGCAGGGUAUAGACCCGAAACCCGGUGAUCUAGCCAUGGGCAGGUUGAAGGUUGGGUAACACUAACUGGAGGACCGAACCGACUAAUGUUGAAAAAUUAGCGGAUGACCUGUGGCUGGGGGUGAAAGGCCAAUCAAACCGGGAGAUAGCUGGUUCUCCCCGAAAGCUAUUUAGGUAGCGCCUCGUGAAUUCAUCUCCGGGGGUAGAGCACUGUUUCGGCUAGGGGGCCAUCCCGGCUUACCAACCCGAUGCAAACUGCGAAUACCGGAGAAUGUUAUCACGGGAGACACACGGCGGGUGCUAACGUCCGUCGUGAAGAGGGAAACAACCCAGACCGCCAGCUAAGGUCCCAAAGUCAUGGUUAAGUGGGAAACGAUGUGGGAAGGCCCAGACAGCCAGGAUGUUGGCUUAGAAGCAGCCAUCAUUUAAAGAAAGCGUAAUAGCUCACUGGUCGAGUCGGCCUGCGCGGAAGAUGUAACGGGGCUAAACCAUGCACCGAAGCUGCGGCAGCGAACGUAUCACUUAAAGCGAUUCAGCGGGUUACGAUUGACGGAGCGAAGCGACGUCAAAGCGUAUACAAAGUCGAGUCGGUUUA
Molecule: ribosomal RNA, 1194 nt
Filed under: Salmonella enterica subsp. enterica serovar Infantis
Lineage: Bacteria; Pseudomonadati; Pseudomonadota; Gammaproteobacteria; Enterobacterales; Enterobacteriaceae
Also listed under: 1 other name
Description: partial 23S ribosomal RNA
Rfam family: Bacterial large subunit ribosomal RNA
Source: RNAcentral